CAAAGGGAGCGAUUCCGGCAACGGAUGGGCAUGCGUGACAUUAGCUAGUUGGCGGGGCAACGGCCCACCAAGGCGACGAUGUCUAGGGGUUCUGAGAGGAAGGUCCCCCACACUGGUACUGAGACACGGACCAGACUCCUACGGGAGGCAGCAGUGAGGAAUAUUGGUCAAUGGGCGCGAGCCUGAACCAGCCAAGUCGCGUGAGGGAUGACGGCCCUACGGGUUGUAAACCUCUUUUGUCGGGGAGCAAAUUCCGUUACGUGUAACGGAGUCGAGAGUACCCGAAGAAAAAGCAUCGGCUAACUCCGUGCCAGCAGCCGCGGUAAUACGGAGGAUGCGAGCGUUAUCCGGAUUUAUUGGGUUUAAAGGGUGCGUAGGCGGACUGUCAAGUCAGCGGUAAAAUACGGGGGCUCAACCUCCGCCCGCCGUUGAAACUGACGGUCUUGAGUGGGCGAGAAGUAUGCGGAAUGCGUGGUGUAGCGGUGAAAUGCAUAGAUAUCACGCAGAACUCCGAUUGCGAAGGCAGCAUACCGGCGCCCAACUGACGCUGAAGCACGAAAGCGUGGGUAUCGAACAGGAUUAGAUACCCUGGUAGUCCACGCAGUAAACCAUGAAUACUAGCUGUCCGGGGCGAAUGAGCCCUGG
RNAcentral lists this ribosomal RNA (645 nucleotides) under uncultured bacterium. RNAcentral's name for it is "bacterial SSU rRNA". It matches the Rfam family "Bacterial small subunit ribosomal RNA", at positions 201 to 842 of the family's 1533-position model. The record is from RNAcentral.